GGCACUAUAGUGUAGUGGUUUAUCACUUGGGAUUUUGAUACGUAUUGCGGACCGGCCCCUAACCGUGCCGGUCCGCGAUCCGUGGAUCUUCCCAUAACCCAGGUUCGAACCCUGGUAGUGCCU
Molecule: non-coding RNA, 123 nt
Organism: Lentinus tigrinus ALCF2SS1-7
Lineage: Eukaryota; Fungi; Basidiomycota; Agaricomycetes; Polyporales; Polyporaceae
Source: the annotation of a GenBank genome assembly